Molecule: ribosomal RNA, 388 nt
Filed under: uncultured bacterium
Lineage: Bacteria
Description: bacterial SSU rRNA
Rfam family: Bacterial small subunit ribosomal RNA
Source: RNAcentral
GACGAACGCUGGCGGCGUGCUUAACACAUGCAAGUCGAGCGGUAAGGCCCUUUCGGGGGUACACGAGCGGCGAACGGGUGAGUAACACGUGGGUGACCUGCCCGCAGCUCUGGGAUAAGCCUGGGAAACCGGGUCUAAUACUGGAUAUGACUCCAUGACGCAUGUUGUGGGGUGGAAAGCCUUGUGCGGCUGAGGAUGGGCCCGCGGCCUAUCAGCUUGUUGGUGGGGUGANGGCCUACCAAGGCGACGACGGGUAGCCGGCCUGAGAGGGCGACCGGCCACACUGGGACUGAGACACGGCCCAGACUCCUACGGGAGGCAGCAGUGGGGAAUCUUGCGCAAUGGGCGAAAGCCUGACGCAGCGACGCCGCGUGAGGGAUGACGGCCU